AUGAAACCUUCUCGUCCGUCGUCGGCGGGUACAGCCUGAACAUACUUUCAGCUCGUUUCCAUGGCUAUCGAACCGCUCGGUGCCACCGCGCGCCGGCCCAAGCGAAUACGACCUUUAAAUACUGAGACGUAAUGCUCACAUCGGUGUAUACUCGGUGGCGUGGAGCUGUGUGCGUCGGUGCGCGCGUGUGCAGCUCUGCGCCGAUGCAACCAGCCCUAGGUCAGUACUCUUUAAUGCACUCGACCGAGUGCAUCCACGUCGCGAUACGGUUCAAACAUCAAAUAUUACACAAAAAAUCAUCGCGACCGCCGCUCCCGGCGUCGUCAGGCCCGGCGACGGUCGCGGGGCCGGGCCCGGGUUCCGGUGCCGGCGGUGGUGCACCCGGAUCCUUUGUCCUCCGCCAUGUUGGUCGGUGUCGAUUUAGCUUCAUUGUUGUUUAUUACCAUCGAUGAGAUCAGCCAAGCAUUAGAGCAUGAAAUGACAUGGAAAUCAGGAGGGCGUUUAGUGUUCGGGCCUGAUGCUGAUCAUCGCGAACGAGAGCAGAGUUCGAACACGUCAGGACUUCUGAGCGGGCAGCAGAAGUGAAUUUCUUCAGGCUUAUACGAUACGAUGAAAAAGAAAGUUGUACAGGGUUGGUGGUGAUGCUGCCGAGAGAGACUGAUGGAGAAAAAAUAAUGACCUAGUAACUAGAGACUCAUACUUAGUCCAGGAACUAAUGGAACAUAUAAAUCGUAGAAUGAUGCGAUCAUUACCACCAAGGAAGGCAAAAAAGACACUUACAAAGCAUCGUAAAAGUCUACUAGACAUACCAAUAUCGUUGCAUCUUACGAGCCAGUUGUACUUUUAUACCUGAAAGAGAGAUGCUUAGCAUAGGUCUUAAAGUAUAUCUAUACCAAACUAGCUGUCCCGGUGAACUUCGU
RNA transcript from Aricia agestis (brown argus), 920 nucleotides. RefSeq lists it as uncharacterized. The record is from RefSeq and is a predicted model, not a curated record. NCBI's taxonomy places the organism in Eukaryota, Metazoa, Arthropoda, Insecta, Lepidoptera, Lycaenidae. The transcript is spliced from 5 exons.